GCGCCGUGUUUGGAAAUUUUAAAAUUGUUCCUGCGUUCGCUCAAAUUGUAUAAAUUUCAAGAUUUUGAUAGAGUCUUAAUUUGAAUUGACAUGAUUCAUUUGUCAUCGUGCAAUUACCGAGGAAGGAUAUCUGUUAUCCGAAAUAUCUAACAUAUUGUUCGUUUUAUUGUGUUUUUGGUGAUGUUGUACCCUUUUAGACUUGUUAUAUAUUACAUUUUGUAGUGUACUGAAUCAUGUUUAUAUGAUCCAUCGCCC
RNAcentral lists this long non-coding RNA (255 nucleotides) under Mytilus galloprovincialis (Mediterranean mussel). Lineage: Eukaryota; Metazoa; Mollusca; Bivalvia; Mytilida; Mytilidae. The record is from RNAcentral.